RNAcentral lists this long non-coding RNA (270 nucleotides) under Elaeis guineensis (African oil palm). RNAcentral's name for it is "long non-coding RNA (EGUI_LNC015981)". Lineage: Eukaryota; Viridiplantae; Streptophyta; Magnoliopsida; Arecales; Arecaceae. The record is from RNAcentral.
UAUUGGGAGUAUUAUAUUUGUUCCUCUCUCUCUAUCUCUGUGUGCGUGCGUGCGCAUGCACAUCUGUCUAAGUAUGUCAAUUCCUCUAUAAAAUAUUUUCUAGCAUUAUGAGGAGGUUUAACUCAAUAUCUUUCAGUGAAAUGGAAGAUAUGAUUAUCAGUGCCCUUCAUUGGUGUGGCAACAGAUGGAUAAUCGAGCAUUGUGAUGACAGAUGGAUAAUUGAGUGGAGAGUUGCACCUGAAUGUUGGUUCCUUUCUACUAGGCAUCGGU